UAGGAGUUCAAAAAUAAGAUCUUGAUUCAUAGAGAAAUCUCAUGUAUCAAAUUUCGAGAAAUCAAGAUGAUGAUUCAUAUAAAAAAAUCACAAGUUAUAAUCAAUAAAAAUAUCAUCUUUUAUCUUCAAAUCAUUCAACUUGUUAAAUCAACAAAGUCACUUUUAAGAGAUUCAUAAAAAUGAUACAAAUAGAUUCAUCAAAAUCAAUAAGAUAGAGAAAAAAAA
RNAcentral lists this long non-coding RNA (225 nucleotides) under Musa acuminata (dwarf banana). Its description in RNAcentral is "long non-coding RNA (MACU_LNC003971)". Lineage: Eukaryota; Viridiplantae; Streptophyta; Magnoliopsida; Zingiberales; Musaceae. The record is from RNAcentral.